CUAACAAGUCUUGGCGACCGGGCCCGACGGGUGAGUAACACGUAUCCAACCUCGUCACUUACUCGGGGAUAGCCUUUCGAAAGAAAGAUUAAUAUCCGAUAGCAUAUAUUUCCCGCAUGGGUUUUAUAUUAAAGAAAUUCGGUAUGAGAUGGGGAUGCGUUCCAUUAGUUUGUUGGGGGGGUAACGGCCCACCAAGACUACGAUGGAUAGGGGUUCUGAGAGGAAGGUCCCCCACAUUGGAACUGAGACACGGUCCAA
Molecule: ribosomal RNA, 258 nt
Filed under: uncultured bacterium
Lineage: Bacteria
Description: partial 16S ribosomal RNA
Rfam family: Bacterial small subunit ribosomal RNA (bases 27-258)
Source: RNAcentral